RNAcentral lists this long non-coding RNA (535 nucleotides) under Vigna radiata. Its description in RNAcentral is "long non-coding RNA (VRAD_LNC005889)". Lineage: Eukaryota; Viridiplantae; Streptophyta; Magnoliopsida; Fabales; Fabaceae. The record is from RNAcentral.
GAACAAGAGGUUUUGGAUAGGUCGAUAUUUAGGUUGGGCCUUAGCACGAGCUUAGGAGAGAAUUUUGCAUAAGUUAGAGACUUUGGUAGUGCGUAGGCUUCAAUGCCAGUAGAGGAUUGCUUGAACUUGGAGAUGACAUAUUCAUUCUCAUAAAGGAAGACAAUGCGCCUUUGGUGGUUGAGUGCUACCUAGAGGAGAAACUUGGGGGGAUAUUGAAGACUCCGAAUGUUGGGGCACAACAUGAAGAGGUGGGCUUUUGAGAGGGCAGUGAGAGAGGACAUGAGCUUGGCAGAGAUGUUGGAGGCAAGGGCAUAAUGGAGGAGUGUUUUGUAGAUGGAAGGCGGAAGAGGACACUUUCUUCACCAAGGAUAUUGCUCGUCGAGUUAACACUCGUCUCCUUAGUCUUUCUUUGUUGGUUGUCGUGUGGUUUGGACGUGAAGAGGAGCUGAAGAUGAAUAGGCUUGGACUUCUUUCAUGUAUAAAUUUACUCUUCAUUUUAUCGACAGAUUUAGCAACAGACAAAUCUGUUGAUAAU